AUUUGACAGAUCUCACGUAU
RNAcentral lists this small nuclear RNA (20 nucleotides) under Arabidopsis thaliana (thale cress). RNAcentral describes it as "snRNA_10343". Lineage: Eukaryota; Viridiplantae; Streptophyta; Magnoliopsida; Brassicales; Brassicaceae. The record is from RNAcentral.